UGAGAUGCUUCUUGGUUUUGGAAAAAUUGUAAUAACAAUUUCUUUAACAAUACUUUCAAUAUUCCUGAUCACAAAGCAGACAUCGUUCGUAUAAUGGAAUUUUUCAGUUUAGGUCAUAAGCCAAAAACUAAACAUUUUUCGUACGCCUAUCUGGAUUACUUGGCUGCCCCUGGAACAAAAAUCCUUUAAGUUAAGCAUUGAUGGCGCGUUUGAUAUCAUCUUUGGUAAAGAAGGCCUAGGUAGGUUUAUUCGUGAUCAUGUGGGAAACUGGGUUCUGGGUUUCACACACUCCAUUUGUGAUACUGACAGUUUAUAGGCUGAAUUAUUGGCCCUCUACAAUGGCCUUAAACUUGCCUUACUGCACAAUUUACAACCUUUAAUCAUUGAGCUCGAUGCUACUCAAGUGAUUAUCCUUUUACACUCUCUCAUUUUAUCAUAUGCUCACAUUAUACAUGAUUGCAGGUAGAUGCUCCAUCAACUCACUAAUUCAAGCAUAGUGCACUCAUACAUGAAAGUAAAUAACAUCGCGGAUAGGCUUGCUAAACCAGCUUUAACUGGCAACUUCUUGUAGGACAUCUCCAUUUUGGAUGAACCACCUCCUCUUGUUCAAACUUCACUUGCAGGUAACCAAUGGGCUCAAGCUACUAAAACACUCGUACUAGCUGCAACUUUUCCUUCAAGCCGUCGAAAUAGUUCUAAUGUCCUUCUAACUAGCGUAGAUUUACCAAUAUAGUAACUACUUUUUUCUGUAACUUAGACCAUGUGGGUCUGUGAUGGCCACCGGCCAUUACUCCAUGUACUCCUUUAAGUUUUUAAUAAAAUGUUUUAUCUUUCCUUAC
This 839-nucleotide long non-coding RNA is filed under the name Solanum tuberosum (potato). RNAcentral's name for it is "long non-coding RNA (STUB_LNC005627)". The record is from RNAcentral. Lineage: Eukaryota; Viridiplantae; Streptophyta; Magnoliopsida; Solanales; Solanaceae.